RNAcentral lists this ribosomal RNA (484 nucleotides) under uncultured bacterium. Its description in RNAcentral is "partial 16S ribosomal RNA". It matches the Rfam family "Bacterial small subunit ribosomal RNA", at positions 28 to 507 of the family's 1533-position model. The record is from RNAcentral.
GUUGAACGCUGGCGGCAGGCCUAACACAUGCAAGUCGAGCGGAUGAAGGGAGCUUGCUCCUGGAUUCAGCGGCGGACGGGUGAGUAAUGCCUAGGAAGCUGCCUGGUAGUGGGGGAUAACGUCCGGAAACGGGCGCUAAUACCGCAUACGUCCUGAGGGAGAAAGUGGGGGAUCUUCGGACCUCACGCUAUCAGAUGAGCCUAGGUCGGAUUAGCGAGUUGGUGGGGUAAAGGCCUACCAAGGCGACGAUCCGUAACUGGUCUGAGAGGAUGAUCAGUCACACUGGAACUGAGACACGGUCCAGACUCCUACGGGAGGCAGCAGUGGGGAAUAUUGGACAAUGGGCGAAAGCCUGAUCCAGCCAUGCCGCGUGUGUGAAGAAGGUCUUCGGAUUGUAAAGCACUUUAAGUUGGGAGGAAGGGCAGUAAGUUAAUACCUUGCUGUUUUGACGUUACCAACAGAAUAAGCACCGGCUAACUUCGUG